ACAAAGAAGAACCCAAAGAAAAGAGGAACAGGGAAGGAAGAAAAUAAAAUAAAAUAGCAACAAUAGGGAAACAAAGCAGAACGUGGAACAAAAGGGGUUUUGGGACGGUUACUUUUGGCAACAAAUUAGGGAUAUUUGAAAAUUAAGUCAAAAAAUAAAAAUAAAGAAAUAAUAUAUUAUAUUUUGUAACAACUUAUCCCCCAACAUCCUACAAUAAUCCAACCACCAGAC
This 231-nucleotide long non-coding RNA is filed under the name Gossypium raimondii (Peruvian cotton). RNAcentral describes it as "long non-coding RNA (GRAI_LNC002607)". The record is from RNAcentral. Lineage: Eukaryota; Viridiplantae; Streptophyta; Magnoliopsida; Malvales; Malvaceae.